ACCUGAUCCAGCGAUGCCGCGUGUGUGAAGAAGGCCCUCGGGUUGUAAAGCACUUUCGCAGGGGAAGAAACGGCGCGCUCUAACAUAGCGCGCUACUGACGGUACCCUGAAAAGAAGCGCCGGCUAAU
This 128-nucleotide ribosomal RNA is filed under the name uncultured bacterium. RNAcentral describes it as "partial 16S ribosomal RNA". It matches the Rfam family "Bacterial small subunit ribosomal RNA", at positions 381 to 501 of the family's 1533-position model. The record is from RNAcentral.